CGAAGCUUAGGAAUGUAUGUAAGUACAUUGGUAGAGGAGCAUUCUUAAAGGGGUGAAGCAGUACCGAUAAGGAGCUGUGGACUUUUAAGAAGAGAGAAUGCCGGAAUGAGUAGCGAGAUGGAGGUGGGAAUCCUCCAGGCCGAAUAUCCAAGGUUUCCAGAGUAAAGCUGAUCUGCUCUGGGUAAGUCGGGGCCUAAGGCGAGGCUGAGAGGCGUAGUCGAUGGACAACAGGUUGAAAUUCCUGUACCAUGUAUCAUCAGAACUGUGGGGACACAGAAGGACAACACAUCCCGGGAAUGGGAAUACCGGGGCAAGCGAGGUAGGAGUACGGUUGGCAAAUCCGCCGUGCAAUCCGAAGACGUGACGCGCAGCGAACUAAAGUAGCGAAGUGUGUGAUUCCGGCUGUCAAGAAAAGCCGCUAUUGUGUGAUACAUGCCCGUACCGUAAACCGACACAGGUAGAUGAGGAGAGAAUCCUAAGGCCGGCGGGAGAAGCAUUGUUAAGGAACUCGGCAAAAUGACCCCGUAACUUCGGGAGAAGGGGUGCCACAGAGAUGUGGCCGCAGAGAAUAGGCUCAAGCAACUGUUUAGCAAAAACACAGGUCUAUGCAAAACCGUAAGGUGAGGUAUAUGGGCUGACGCCUGCCCGGUGCUGGAAGGUUAAGAGGAGAGGUUAGCGCAAGCGAAGCUUUGAAUUUAAGCCCCAGUAAACGGCGGCCGUAACUAUAACGGUCCUAAGGUAGCGAAAUUCCUUGUCGGGUAAGUUCCGACCCGCACGAAAGGCGUAAUGAUUUGAGCGCUGUCUCAACAAUGCACCCGGUGAAAUUGAAAUACCAGUGAAGAUGCUGGUUACCUGCGCCAGGACGGAAAGACCCCAUGGAGCUUUACUCCAGUUUGAUACUGGGAUUCGGUAUUGCAUGUACAGGAUAGGUGGGAGGCUUUGAAACAUGGACGCCAGUCUGUGUGGAGCCAAUGUUGGGAUACCACCCUUGCGAUAUUGGGUUUCUAACCUGCGCCCGUGACCCGGGCGGGGGACAAUGUCAGGCGGGGAGUUUGACUGGGGCGGUCGCCUCCGAAAGGGUAUCGGAGGCGCUCAAAGGUUCCCUCAGGAUGGUUGGAAACCAUCCAAAGAGUGCAAAGGCAUAAGGGAGCUUGACUGCGACACCGACGGGUGGAGCAGGUACGAAAGUAGGACUUAGUGAUCCGGUGGUAUGAAAGUGGGAUUGCCAUCGCUCAACGGAUAAAAGCUACCCUGGGGAUAACAGGCUUAUCACUCCCAAGAGUUCACAUCGACGGAGUGGUUUGGCACCUCGAUGUCGGCUCAUCGCAUCCUGGGGCUGUAGCAGGUCCCAAGGGUUGGGCUGUUCGCCCAUUAAAGCGGUACGCGAGCUGGGUUCAGAACGUCGUGAGACAGUUCGGUCCCUAUCCGGCGCGGGCGUAGGAUAUCUGAGAGGAGCUGUCCUUAGUACGAGAGGACCGGGAUGGACAGACCGCUGGUGUACCUGUUGGCUUACCAAGGCCAUGGCAGGGUAGCCAAGUCUGGACGGGAUAAACGCUGAAGGCAUCUAAGCGUGAAGCCCCCCUCAAGAUGAGAUAUCCCAUCGCGAAAGCGAGUAAGACCCCUUGAAGACGACGAGGUAGAUAGGUUAGAGGUGGAAGUGCAGUAAUGUACGGAGCUGACUAAUACUAAUCGGUCGAGGGCUUAUCCA
This 1708-nucleotide ribosomal RNA is filed under the name Enterocloster bolteae. RNAcentral's name for it is "bacterial LSU rRNA". It matches the Rfam family "Bacterial large subunit ribosomal RNA", at positions 1195 to 2925 of the family's 2925-position model. The record is from RNAcentral. Lineage: Bacteria; Bacillati; Bacillota; Clostridia; Lachnospirales; Lachnospiraceae.